Sinocyclocheilus grahami is the source of this 351-nucleotide long non-coding RNA. RefSeq lists it as uncharacterized. The transcript has 3 exons. The record is from RefSeq and is a predicted model, not a curated record. NCBI's taxonomy places the organism in Eukaryota, Metazoa, Chordata, Actinopteri, Cypriniformes, Cyprinidae.
AUCGCUCUUUGUGGAUGCUUGAAAAUCCUUAUAAAGUAAACAUAAACAAUCAGAGAAAUCAUGAAAGUUAAUUCAAUUAAUGAUGUUUCACUUCAAGUUCAUUUGAUCACAUACAGUAUCUCAGUGUUACCUAACUUCUCUUUUUUUCAGAUUUGAAAGACAUCUCGACAAACAGAGCAGUGCACAAUCUAAUCCAGCGAACACAAACCUCAUUGAUUUGGGAACUUCCAACCAAAUAAAGGCAACAAAUGGUGCUCAUAGCGCAGUCAGCCAAUCGACAGUCACCACGCUAUCCAAUCAGAUGGCAGGAUUGAGCACAAAAGCUGAUGACUUAAAACAAAAUAAAAGCAG